Molecule: ribosomal RNA, 440 nt
Filed under: uncultured bacterium
Lineage: Bacteria
Description: partial 16S ribosomal RNA
Rfam family: Bacterial small subunit ribosomal RNA
Source: RNAcentral
CCUACGGGUGGCUGCAGUGGGGAAUAUUGCACAAUGGGGGAAACCCUGAUGCAGCGACGCCGCGUGAGUGAAGAAGUAUUUCGGUAUGUAAAGCUCUAUCAGCAGGGGAGAAAGUGACGGUACCUGAUUAAGAAGCCCCGGCUAACUACGUGCCAGCAGCCGCGGUAAUACGUAGGGGGGAAGCGUUAUCCGGAUUUACUGGGUGUAAAGGGGGCGUAGACGGGAGCACAAGUCCGGAGGGAAAUGCCGGGGCCUAACCCCGGAACUUCUGUGGAAACUGUGCAGCUAGAGUGCAGGAGAGGUAAGUGGAAUGCCUGGUGUAGCGGUGAAAUGCGUAGAUAUUAGGAGGAACACCAGUGGCGAAGGCGGCCUACUGGACUGUAACUGACGUUGAGGCACGAAAGCGCGGGGAGCAAACAGGAUUAGAUACCCUGGUAGUC